RNAcentral lists this transfer RNA (73 nucleotides) under Mus musculus (house mouse). It matches the Rfam family "tRNA". From Rfam's summary of the family: Transfer RNA (tRNA) molecules are approximately 80 nucleotides in length. The record is from Rfam by way of RNAcentral. Lineage: Eukaryota; Metazoa; Chordata; Mammalia; Rodentia; Muridae.
GUGGAGAUGGCUCAGUGGUUAAGAGCACUGACUGCUCUUCCAGAGGUCCUGAGUUCAAUUCCCAGCACCCACG